This is a small RNA of Xanthomonas oryzae pv. oryzae, 76 nucleotides long. It matches the Rfam family "Xanthomonas sRNA sX9". Lineage: Bacteria; Pseudomonadati; Pseudomonadota; Gammaproteobacteria; Lysobacterales; Lysobacteraceae. The record is from Rfam.
AUGUCCCACGCGUCCACUGCGGUCCUUCCGCGCCGUCCGCACCCAACUGACGACAGCGCGCGACGUUCUGUUAGCC